AUUGAACGCUGGCGGCAGGCCUAACACAUGCAAGUCGAGCGGAUGAAGGGAGCUUGCUCCUGGAUUCAGCGGCGGACGGGUGAGUAAUGCCUAGGAAUCUGCCUGGUAGUGGGGGAUAACGUCCGGAAACGGGCGCUAAUACCGCAUACGUCCUGAGGGAGAAAGUGGGGGAUCUUCGGACCUCACGCUAUCAGAUGAGCCUAGGUCGGAUUAGCUAGUUGGUGGGGUAAAGGCCCACCAAGGCGACGAUCCGUAAAUGGUCUGAGAGGCUGAUCAGUCAAACUGGAACUGAGACACGGUGCAGACUCCUACGGGAGGCAGCAGUGGGGAAUAUUGGACAAUGGGCGAAAGCCUGAUCCAGCCAUGACGCGUGUGUGAAGAAGGUCUUCGGAUUGUAAAGCACUUUAAGUUGGGAGGAAGGGCAGUAAGUUAAUAACUUGCUGUUUUGACGUUAACAACAGAAUAAGCACCGGCUAAAUUCGUG
This 484-nucleotide ribosomal RNA is filed under the name uncultured bacterium. RNAcentral's name for it is "partial 16S ribosomal RNA". It matches the Rfam family "Bacterial small subunit ribosomal RNA", at positions 30 to 507 of the family's 1533-position model. The record is from RNAcentral.